Molecule: ribosomal RNA, 404 nt
Filed under: Actinomycetes bacterium
Lineage: Bacteria; Bacillati; Actinomycetota; Actinomycetes
Description: Actinobacteria bacterium partial 16S ribosomal RNA
Rfam family: Bacterial small subunit ribosomal RNA
Source: RNAcentral
UGGGGAAUAUUGGACAAUGGGCGCAAGCCUGAUCCAGCCCUGUCGCGUGAGUGAUGAAGGCCCUAGGGUUGUAAAGCUCUUUCACCGGUGAAGAUAAUGACGGUAACCGGAGAAGAAGCCCCGGCUAACUUCGUGCCAGCAGCCGCGGUAAUACGAAGGGGGCUAGCGUUGCUCGGAUUUACUGGGCGUAAAGCGCACGUAGGCGGACUUUUAAGUCAGGGGUGAAAUCCCGGGGCUCAACCCCGGAACUGCCUUUGAUACUGGAAGUCUUGGGUAUGGUAGAGGUGAGUGGAAUUCCGAGUGGAGAGGUGAAAUUCGUAGAUAUUCGGAGGAACACCAGUGGCGGAGGCGGCUCACUGGACCAUUACUGACGCUGAGGUGCGAAAGCGUGGGGAGCAAACAGG